GCAUGGGUUUGGAUUUAUGGCAAGCCCACUGCCUGGGCCUCUCAUAGUGCCCCAUGCCGGUGCAAACUAUGACCCCAGAUCAUUGCCUGGCCUCUGUCCAUAGGCUGUUGGCAUUGAGGCAGGUUCAACAGUA
Molecule: small nucleolar RNA, 133 nt
Organism: Lepus europaeus (European hare)
Lineage: Eukaryota; Metazoa; Chordata; Mammalia; Lagomorpha; Leporidae
Product: small nucleolar RNA SNORA42/SNORA80 family
Exons: 1
Source: RefSeq, a predicted model, not a curated record